GAUGAACGCUGGCGGCGUGCCUAAUACAUGCAAGUCGAGCGAACGGACGAGAAGCUUGCUUCUCUGAUGUUAGCGGCGGACGGGUGAGUAACACGUGGAUAACCUACCUAUAAGACUGGGAUAACUUCGGGAAACCGGAGCUAAUACCGGAUAAUAUUUUGAACCGCAUGGUUCAAAGGUGAAAGACGGUCUUGCUGUCACUUAUAGAUGGAUCCGCGCUGCAUUAGCUAGUUGGUAAGGUAACGGCUUACCAAGGCAACGAUGCAUAGCCGACCUGUGAGGGUGAUCGGCCACACUGGAACUGAGACACGGUCCAGACUCCUACGGGAGGCAGCAGUAGGGAAUCUUCCGCAAUGGGCGAAAGCCUGACGGAGCAACGCCGCGUGAGUGAUGAAGGUCUUCGGAUCGUAAAACUCUGUUAUUAGGGAAGAACAUAUGUGUAAGUAACUGUGCACAUCUUGACGGUACCUAAUCAGAAAGCCACGGCUAACUACGUG
RNAcentral lists this ribosomal RNA (497 nucleotides) under uncultured bacterium. Its description in RNAcentral is "partial 16S ribosomal RNA". It matches the Rfam family "Bacterial small subunit ribosomal RNA", at positions 28 to 507 of the family's 1533-position model. The record is from RNAcentral.